AAGGAGCAGGGCCCACAGAGAACCUGCCCCAGACAUCCCACAGUUUCUCUGCAGGAUCCUCAAUACCCAGUGUCAGAUCAUAUGUGUGAGGGGAAUGACCUUGGUUCUCUUCCAAGGGCAGAGACAGAAUGACAGGAAGAGACAAAUGUCAGUCCCCACCUGGUGGUGGAGGUGAGAGCAGAGUCUAGAAAUCUCCAGGAAUCUAGGUCUUCCUGGAGAAGAAACUAGGUUGAAAACUCACUGGGCGCAGAACCCACCCUGCCUCUCUCUACAAUUCAUGUCAUGAAUUUUACGCACAUCCCAUUUUAUUCCAAAGGGAUUUUAAGGCUGCCUGCAAAGACGCAUAUAGCACAGAAAACAUAUAGUAUUGCUUUACAUAACAAAAGUGAGAAAAGGAGAGAUGACAGCAUAAAAUAAUUUGAACCAAGGUUCACAGGCAGAGCUCUGGCUAAGAAGUCAUACACUUGCCAGGGCUGCGUCACACAAAGGGACAGGAAAACACGAUCAGGUGCAAGACCACGUGCCCACGAAGGGAGAACUGGUCCUCAGUUAGAUCACAGCCAUUCCAGAUACUGAUGCCAGAUGGUAAUUUAUCCCAUUGGUUCUCACACAGAUGACCCUGCCUUAGGCAACGAGCAAUAUCCUGAGAGUAAACAUAAUGGAACUAGAAUGAUUUGGCAGCGCCGGCACAUGGAGGACACUCAGAGUCUCUAGCAGCUCGUCACCAGAUCACUUCUGCAGCCACAUCCCCUAAAAGCCCAUAACUUCCUUUAAGGACUAAUCCUUACAGGGUUUUGACCUGAACGUGAGCACGUGGAUUUACGUCAGCCGUUUUCUGCCUUUUCUGAUGGUUUUUCCUGAAGAAGUUUAAAGACCAGGAAACAGAGCAUUUGAGCUUUAACAAGCUGAUGGAUAUGGAAUAACUGACUUGAAGUACAGGACAUUCUCGAUCUGUAAAGCAGUAAAGAGAGCAGUCUCUGGAGCGAGUUGCCUGGAUCUGAAUUCGUCCUCCUGUAGUUACUACUAACCGGACAACCUCAGACAAGCUACCUAACUUCUGUAUCCCUCCAUCUCCUCAUCUCUAAAGUGGAGAUAAAAACGGGUGAUGCCGACAGACCGAAGAAGAAAACCCUCCUUCUCUGGGGCUCGCUGAGCUGCUUUUCCACCUGGAGAAGUAAUCAACAACCUCCAGCAAUGGCUCACAGACUGAACAAACGGAGGAUGGGUGGAGAAAAAAAAAGAGAGAAGAAUAGCUCCCUCUGAUCCAGCCCAUCGUGGGAGAGUGUGGUAUUUCUAAUCCUGCAGACACUGGGAAAGAGAGCUCUGGUCAACCCCAUUUUUUAAGGGGCAACUAAGACUCAAGAGAGUCUAACCAAUCUCCAACAGGCAUCUAGGGGGUAAUCAGGAGCAUAAAUGGGACCCAAGCCUGCCUGACUGCACAUUCCGUACACUUUCCAUAACACCACGUUAUUUCUAAGUGGAAAAAAAUAUCCCAUAGGCUCUUAUUCCUCAGCAAACACUCUAUGCAAAGGUCACGAAGAAGUAAAGCCACCGGCAGGUGUAACUUCCGACUCUACCAUUCCAGCAUCUGAACACCUGAAAAUCACUUAAUCUCUUUAAAUGUCAGUUUUCUUAUCUGAGGAAAAAAUGGGUAUAAGCAUCUUUAUUGAUGAUUACACAGGGGUAAAAUGAGAUAAUGGAGCAAAGAGCCUGGCACGAUACAGAAGUUCAUUACAUGUGUGUACUUCCUUUCUUGGCUCCAGAAGAAAAUGAUUUUUUUUUUUUUUUUUUUUUACCGUAAGGUGCCUGUGGCAGAAAAGUGAAAUUUUAAUUUAAAGAGGAUAAUUAAUAACAAUGAAACUGAAGCUAUUGCAUAGGCUAAUUAUUCAUGUGGUACUCAAAUGCAAAAACACAAUGGCAACUGAGAAAAGAAAGGAAAAAUAAAAUUAGUAAAUGUUACAUCUCACCCACACAGUAUCCUAACAAGUUUCUUGCAGUCAAGACAAUGAAAAAAGUGAAUUAUGAGGUACCUUAAAAGGAACUGGACAGGUUUUUACAAUCAACACAACAACCUUAAAGGAGGAAAUCCUUUUAAAUUAAAUAUUAAGUCAUUACACAGCUAUAGAACUCAGCAAUAUCAAGCUUCCCACAUAUUUGAUGGGACAGAUAAAACAGCUUUAACAUUAUAUAGUUCACUCUUCUAUUCAUCUUCAAGACUUUGCAGCAUCUUACCUCUUCCUAUCAAGGAUAAAGCCUACUCUUCUCAAAUAUUUUCACUUCAAUUUAUGUUGGCCAGAAAAGCAUCUGUACGUUCUCUGUGUGCUUAACACCCACGUCCACAUCAUUCACAGGUACGGAAACACAGAGACAUUUAGUUCAAGUGUUUCUGAAGCAGAAGGUGGCAAUUAUGUUGAUCCUCUGAUUCUCGGACUAUAAUCACUUGCUUGAAAAACCCCCACCCCCAGGAGAUGCAUUAUCACUGAAAGCAAAUUAUGGCGUCGUCUGUUCAUUCUUCUGGAAAUCUCUUCCAUGUCUAUCCCUAGAUAUAAAUAUAGAUAUAUAUUCUGACAAUAUAUAAAGGUCAAAGGAAUCUCCCCAACACUGAGAGUGAAAUCAAGGGAGCUAAAUCUGUGAUGGUGUUUGUCUACAAGACUCCACAGUUUCUUGCCCUCACUUUGCUGUUUCCAUGUGUAGAAAAACAAUUCACAGACCCCUGCUAUGGAAUAAAUAUGAAUAUAUUUAUUGAGCUCAAAACCUCCGCCUUCUGCUUGAGACAUGUGAUACAUCAGUGUUCCUGGUGGCAGCAGGAGCAUUUAAUAUAUCAGUGCGGAUAGAAUACCUUCAGUAUUAGCAUCAGCAAAAACACUGCAGUUGUCCCUUGGUAUCUGAGGGGGACUCGUUCCAGGAACCCCACCUGCGGAUACCAAAAUCCAUGGAUGCUCAAGUCCCUUAUAUAAAAUGGUGCAGAUUUUGCAUAUAAUCUACAGACACCCUUCUAUAUGCUUUAAAUCAUCUCUAGAUUACUUAUAAUACCUAAUAUAAUGUAAAUGCUAUGUAAAGAGUUGUAAAUACAACGUGAAUGCUAUGUAAAUAGUUGCUGGCAUGCAGCAAAUUCAAGCUUUGCUUUCUGGAACUUUCUGGAAUUUUUUUCCAAGUAUUUUUGAUCUGCAGUUGUUUGAAUCCAUGAAUGCAGUGGAUACAGAGGGCUAACUGUGUUUCAUAUUAUGCUAUUACCCUAAUAAAGGGAUAGAGAGUCCCCAGAGGAAACCAUGGACUCUCCCAUUGAAGUACAGUUGUAAAAAAUCCCCUGUCACACUGGAAGAAACAGAUAUUUUCUUCAAGAACUUCCCAGAAACUUUAUAGGAUGGUGUUAUCAGUCUCAAAACGUAAAGAAUUCUAAUCUAACAGACAUUUUGAUGAACAAGCCGUCAAGCAUUUAUCAGCUGCUGCUUCCUGCUGUACUUUGCACUAGAGAUCAUGAGGUAGGUAAGCAGUGAAUGCUCCUGUGGUGGGAUCCUAGAAUCAGCCACUCAGAGGGAGUUCAGAGCCUCUUAGCACAGGGGAGAAAACUGAAGGAACAAAGCAAAACUAUCAAUAAUACCAUUUGGGGAAUCUGUGGCAGAGGCUAAAUGAGAAGCCUCUGUGGCAGAAGCCCAGGGCUUCUGACUGCCUAACCACAAGCAAAGUGUUAUCCAGCCACUCUUUGUCUCCAAGCUUAAAAACAAUUUCAAAAUGAACACCCAUAUGUGUAUAAAAAGUGAUAUCACCCCAUUCCAGCACGCCUGCAUUUAUUCCUAAACUAGGAGUGGUCUGAGUCAUGAGAAGUUACAGAAGUAGCCAGCCUCAUGAAUUCUGAUAAAGCCUUUCACGUGCAGGGGCAUGGUGAAUUCAUUCAGCAUUCAGCUGUGAGUCUUCCAGACUCUGUGAUUAGGUUUUGAUGCUUAAACUCCUAAGCACGGCCUGAAAAUGGAAACCCUUCUACAGCCUGGCGUCUCUUACCUUUCUUGAUUCAACUGAGCCCUGUGCCUUGCAAAGUGCAUGGUCCAGUCACACCAGAUCAAUUUCAUCCCUUCAACAUGCCAGGUAUGUUUAUGAUUCUGUCAUUUGCACAACACAUGCUCCUGGAGGUCCCCAAAUGAACUUCUUUCCCUUUUCCACGGGGCAAAUUAUGUCCCAGUCUUUAAAAUCCAUCUCUUUUCUCCAGCUUUCUCUGCCUGACUCAUCAAGUGGAAUUAACUGAUCAAUCUCCUGGAAACCCUUCUUUCCUUUGUAUAAUUCUCAACUCACAUUGCAUUAUGAUUAUCAAUUCAGUUCUUAGGUUUUAUUUAUUGAUAUUUUUAAGUUACCAGAUAAUGCAUACUCAGUGUCAAAAUUUGGAGAAAUAAAAUGUGUAAAUGAGAAAAUAAACAUUUCCUUCCACUAGUUUCCCCUAUUUUUAAACACAAUUGAGAUCUUUCUUCUACUGCACCUGACCUCACAACUGCUAAACAUUCUUCGGGAACCCUCUUUUAACAGUAGUGUAAUUGCCUGUCAGGAUGGACAACAAAUUAUAUAACCAUUCAACCUCCUACUGUUGAGCUAUUCAGUAGUUUUAAUUUUUUCUUAUUAUAAGGAACAAUGCAGCAAACUUAAUUGUGCAUGAAUCUCUGUCCAUAUACCUGUGUAUUCUCUUAGGAGGGAUGCUUACAAGUAAAACUGCUGGGACAAAAGAGAUGAUAUUUUAGAGCUCUAUGUACGUAUUGCAGAUUAUUCCCCAGAAAAUAUGUUUUAAUUAACACACCCACCAGUAGGGUGGAAAUGGCCAUUACACUCCUCUGUCCCGUCAUGGUAGCAACUGCUCCACCCAUAUAUUUUUGUAAAAGGUGUAAAUGCAUAGUUGCUUCAAUUUCUCUUUCUUUGAAUAGCAACACAGUUGAAUUUUUCAUAUGUGUGUGUGUGUACAGUCAUACAUACAAUUCUGGGAACUGUAUGAUUAGGUCUUUCCCCUCUUUUCCAUUGGGGUGAUGGUAUUUUUUUCUUAUCCACUUGCAAGAGCUCUUUAUUCAAAUAUUAAAAUACUUCUUUAGAUCAUAUUAGUUUUGAGUAUGUCCCAGAUUUGCUCUUUAGUCCUAAUUUUGCUUAUGAUUUUUUAAAAAAUAUAUUUAUUUAUUUAUUAUUUAUUUUUGGCUGUGUUGGGUCUUCAUUGCCGCACGCGGGCUUUCUCUAGUUGUGGCGAUCAGGGGCUACUCUUCGUUGCCGUGCGCGGGCUUCUCAUUGCAGUGGCUUCUCUUGUUGCGGAGCACGGGCUCUAGGCGCACAGGCUUCAGUAGUUGUGGCACGCGGGCUCGGUAGUUGUGGCUUGCGGGCUCUAGAGCGCAGGCUCAGUAGCUGUGGCGCACGGGCUUAGUUGCUCUGCGGCAUGUGGGAUCUUCCCGGACCAGGGCUCGAACCUGUGUCCCCUGCAUUGGCAGGCGGAUUCUUAACCACUGUGCCACCAGGGAAGUCGGCUUAUGAUAUUUUUGAUGUACAAAAGUUGGCAGUUUAAUUUGUCCAUUCUUUACUUUGUGAUUUUUUUUUUUUCCUUUAUGGUUGUUUCUUCACAUGCCUGGCUCCCGGAUGUACCAUGACCUCCAUUAGGACAGGUGUCCUACUUUAUUCAUCUUUGUAUCUCCAGCACUUUAUGGAAUGGCAGAGCCCGGGAUAUAAUCAUUCCUCCAUAAAUCCUUGCCGGAUAGAAUGGUCUGUGAGCUUCUCUAAAAAGAACUGUGGUCUGAAGGAAAACACUGUCUCAUCCUUUACAGAAAUCAGAAAGGUGAACACCUUGCGUAAAUGAAGGCAUGCAGCUAGCGCUGGGAGACUGGGCAUCUAUACUGUAGACCAGUGGUUCUCAAACUUUAUAAAUCAUCAGAAGCACCCGAUGACUUCUUCAAACCACUCCAAGUGUUUCUGACUCAGAAAGUCACUGGAUGGACCACCUAAAUGCAUUUCUAACACAACCCCAGGUGAUAUGGAUGCUGCUGGUCCAGUGAGCACAUUUUGAAAGUCAAGUCCUAGACUCAUCUCUGUUGGUUCUGGGAUAUUAGAAUGUUUAUUCCCCCUUUCUGAGUAUCCAUGUGCCUCUGUCAAGAAAGCUGUUAAGAAGUAAAGAAUGGGGCAGUAGGUGUGGACGCUUUCUGAAAAUGGACAAGAGCUAACCCAGCACUUAAACUUUACAGAGCUUCCCCAUCACCUGGAGACUUGUUAUAAAUGGAGCUUCUCAGAACCCACCCCCCAUCUGGCUGCACAAGGCUGGGUUUAGGGUCCUAGAAGCUUCCUUUGAAACAGGGUCCCCAGGAACAUGGAAGCAGACGGUGUGCAGACCACCUCCUAUGAAACCCUUGGAAAACAAAGACAAAUCCCAGAGCUUGUAAGGAAAUAGGUCCUAAGACCCUUUGCUCUGAAGGCCAGGGUUUGGCCUAGAGAUUGGACAUCCCACAGAACUGUAUGCUCUUAGAUGUUCCAUAACAGAGAGUAAGAGGGAGUGCAUCUAAUUUGGGUGUGUGUGUGAAAACAUCUAAGUCAAAUAUUCGACUUUAGGAUCUUCAGAGUGAAUUUUAAACGAGAAAAAAAAAAUGAUAUCAUUUGAGAGGAAAGGAAGCUCUAGACCAGCAUACCCCAGAAUCUUUCAGUUGAGAGCAGGCUUCAGAGUCAGGUGUGAAUUGGAAAUGUCCCAGAAGAUAGGUACGGGGUAGUCAGAGCUACUACAUUUUGCACCUGACACAGGAUUGCUCGCUCCAGUAAUGACAGCAGCACAGCCUGAGCAAUUUCAGUGUCUUAAUCUCUUUCCCUUUCUUUCAGAAUCCAGGGAAUUUAGUCUAAUUCUUCAUGCCUUCCCACAGGAAUUAUCAAGUGUCAGCUACCAUAGAGACUCUACAAGUCGCUUUGUAUAAAAAAUGUUUGCAGCGAUUCAGAGGACUGUGUAAUUGAGUUAACAAGUUGCAGGAAAUGCAUUUACAUCCUGGACUGGAACCGACGACCUGUCCAUGAGAAGAAAAAGAGUUGAAAUAGAAGAUGAUCAAACAAAAGUUGCAGUCACUUAACCAGACAACUAAUACAGGUCACUGUUUGAGACAAGGGGUUUCAUUUUUAAGAAGGAGUUCAUGGGAGGCCGAAGGCUAAAACCCACCUUGGAUGCUGUACCUGUUCACUAUUUAUUUCUGAGACCCAAAGACUUUUAGGAAUCCAGUAACCCACUCAUAGACAGGUAGCCCACACUGCAAGGUCUGAAGCUUCUGUCAACGUUAGCUCACUCAUACUUCUAGAAGCCACGAUUAUCUCUGGAGCUCAGCUGUUCUUCCUGAGGGAGGCAGUUUUCCAUUGGAACCUUCUUAUUCUACAAAAGAGGAAACAAAUCCAGACAAGGGAAGUGAGUUCCCUCUUGUCCCACGGUGAGUUGAUUAACAAAUUAGGGAUGAGGAAAUGGAUGGAUCAAGGGGAAUACAGAUGAAAAUGCUCAAAGAAUAUGAGAGCAGACAAAGAAAUACUAAGCACAGAGACCCUGUGGACUUCAUCUCUUUGAACAAGACUUUGCCAGAAACCUGGGUCCUUAUUAAUAUGCAUCAGAGGGCUUUCCUGGUGGCACAGUGGUUGGGGGUCCGCCUGCCGAUGCGGGGGAUACGGGUUCGUGCCCCGGUCCGGGAGGAUCCCACAUGCCGCGGAGCGGCUGGGCCCGUGAGCCAUGGCCGCUGGGCCUGCUCAUCCGGAGACUGUGCUCCGCGGCGGCAGAGGCCACAGCAGUGAGAGGCCCGCGUAACGCAAAAAAAUAAAAAAAAAUAUGCAUCAAAGCAGCUGCAAUGUGACUCUCUUCUCCCACCUUUGCUGCAGAAGUAGAGAGUGCCCACUGAAGGACAAAGACUGGGUUUACAUGUCUUCUCUCAACAUCCCCUAGAAACACAUUUUGAACCCUGGGUGCCAAAUAAAUGUUCUUCUGUGACACUGUUGAUGGCAUCUUCCCUUCACCCAUGCCAGGGCUGGAGAGGAGCCAAAAUAUCAAGAGAGAACAUGGAUCAUGGAAUCACAACUUCUUUUCUGCCUAACACAUCUUUUAAAAUAGUUAAGUCAUAUGAGCACAUGACAGAAAACAAUAUUUGGUGUCAUCUAUAAAUCAUCCCAGGUGGGGAGAAAGCCAGGAAUCCGGCAAUUUGGGAUGCAUUAGAAGAGUCACAGGAAAAGCUUUCUGGUUCUUUCAUGUCCUGAGUUCAAAUCCUUUGCAACUGUCUAUCAAUGUGAUAUUGGGGUUUAUUUGGGAAGAUGCAAAGAGAUAAUCUCUGGAAGGCUCAGUAGCAGGCACUCAGUAAGCGCUUGGCAAAAUAUCCAUUCCCAUUCCUUAUCGACAAUCAGUAGCAAGUCUCAUGAACCUAUUCUGGAAGCCUCUUAAGUCUGUCUUGCUGUAACAGAGCAGUGAAGAACAUAAAAUCUCUCUGUUCAAAUCCCAGAUUGUCCACUUACCAGGGACAUAACACUGGGGAAAAUUGUUUAACUACCCUGAGUCUUGGUUUCCAUGUUUUAUAAAUGGGGAUAAUUAUAGCUUCCACCUCAUUAAGGUUGUAGUGAGGACGGAUUGAGAUAAUUUAUGGAAAGUGCUGAGCACUGUGUGUGCACAUAGUAAAUGCUCAGUACACAUCAGUGACUGUAAUAAUGGUGCCCUCUAGUCCCGGCUUCCUGUCCGUUUCCCUGUUUAGAGUCUCUGCCCCUUUGUCAGUUCUUCUCAAUGCUGGUCCAGAAACCAUUUAAUAAAGCAUGGAACACAUCACUCCCCUGCUCUAAACUCGCAAAGGCUCCCUAGAACCUGGGGAAUGAAGUCCAAAGCCCCAAAUUGGACAUGCAACAUACUUCACAGAGAGUCCCAGACUCACCACCCUGCAUGCCUCCUCUUCCCACUGUCACCAGCAGGCAAAACAAAGCUGUGCAUUUACAUCCUGGCGGUUUUGUCUGCGCGGCUCCUUCUCCAGAAUGCUGAGGUGUGCUGGUCAGAGGCAACAUGCCAAGUGAUUCGUGGAAGAAGAUUUGAGAGCCAGACCAUUUUAGAGCUGGAAAGAACCCCAAAGGCCACCUUACAGAUGAGGAAACUGAGGUUAAUUGGCUUGCCCAAGGCCACACAGCUAUUUAUCAGAACGCCAGGGUUUCACUAGGCUGGUCUGCCUAGAAGGAGGAAACCACAGAACAGCCUAUUAGGGAAAAUCUGUCAGCAAUUGGCUGCAAACUUGCUGACAGGUUGUCUUUCUCCAUUCAUGAGAAAUGAGACAGAAGUUAAGCACCCAAUAAGAGAAGAACAUGAGGCAUGCCUCUGUGUAAGUGAAAACCGGGUCCCUCUCUGGCUUGCAAUGCGGGGCACGGCAGGAGGGGGUUCAUGGGGAGAGAGCAGCUGAAAUGAUUCCGCAGGAUCCGUCCCUCACUUCAAAGACAUAUCCUCUCAGGCUGCAUUAGUCUCCUGACUAAUGCUCCCAAACGCACUGUGGAGGUUUGCUGAAGUUGAAGAUUCUCUGUAAGGUUUGCAGGAGGAACAGUGAUGAAUAAAACACAAGAUCGCCAAUGCAUUACUUUGAAGGCGAGUGUGCCCAGUUCUAACUGCUAAAUUGCAAUUUUUACUCUACGAUAAUAAUACUAAUAGUGAUGCUUCAUUUAUAUAGUGCUUCUUAAGUUCCCAAGAAUAAUAAUAAAAAUGAAAACUACACCUUAUACUACAGCUGUGCCUAUAUAUGAAGUAUAUAGUAGAGUGAGACAGUUCAAGAGCAAGCUCCCUUUGCUAUUGGGAUAUUUUAGGGCAAAGUGUUGUGAACUGGAGUUGUUUGCAUAAAGUACGCUGGAUUUUCAAUUUGGAUUUGGAAUUUAAACACAGUUUUGCUGCUAUGGUCAAUGAAAUAUUUUAUAAAACCUUUAAAUAUGUUGUUAAAUAUUUAAAACCUUUAAAUAUGCAUGCUUUAAAAAGUUAGACAAUGGAAAGAUAACUAUUGAUGUAGCUGCCCAACCAGCCUCACGUAUGUUUAGUUGGUCAUUCUUGGUCUGUGAUCUGGAUUUGUGUCCACGGUGACCCGUCAGGGAGUACCACAUAGAAGCUGAAAUGCAUGGCUCCAAGACUUCUGUGCAGCUUGGUGACGACUGGGUCAGGUCUGGGCAAGGAGUGCCAUCAACCACAAAAUCAAAACCAUUCAAUGGUUUAACUCCCUGGCCCAGUAGACGGGCUAGCAAGUCUCAGAAGCUUUGAAACUCUGAGCUCCCCUGAAAGCUCCACUCUCUGGAAGGAUGAUGCUGAUUCCUUUCAGCAGUGGGUUAGGCUGUCCUGGGAUGAUAAGGGACCAGCUGCAGAGGAAGCUUUCCUCUGUCUUUCCUUGCUGCCCUAAUUUGCCCUAAUUGAAGCACUGACAACUUCCACCUGAUCAUCCAAUCCUUGGGCCAGCAAAGAGGCCAGGAUGCUGGGAGGGUGUGGGAGUUGUCCCCUCCAGAAGCUGGGAUGUGGUGAGGUCAUUUGCCCAUUCUUAUGGGGGCAUCCUUUGUGCUCGUAUCAAUGCCUAGAGAGCUCCUAUGUAUUCCAUCCUGCCUUCUUCAAGAUUUUGGCUCUGAAUUCAGAAUACUCCUUUCUAUCUGGCUGCCCUUAGAUUAGGAAUACAAUUUGGACUCUUGUCCCUGAAUUUGGCCUUAGUUUCCUCUGGAUAAUAUUUUUGGGAAUUUUGCAUUGGUUCCAGAGCCAGCAUCCAUGGGCCACUUUACCAUACAACCUGCCCUGUUCUUUCCAAGAGACCAUUUGCCAUUCAGAUGCCUAGCAGUUAUGCUGUCCACCAUAGCCGCCUAUGGAAAUCCCACUUCAUCUUCUGAGCUCCCGAGCCUAUCACUAGGCUUCUGCUCGGGUCCUGACAUCCUGCCCAAUUCUGGCUCAACCCAAAUUGGACCAUUCAAUGUUUAAUAAAGGCUUUCUCUGCUCUGUCCUCACACCUUAACAUCUAACUGUCUAUCAACAUUCUAUUAAGCAUUUGAGAGGAACUCAAAAGCCAGAUACCCCACUCAGUAUUGCAGGAGAUAAGUUUUCUUACAACAGUCUUGCAAGGAUAUGCAGGGAAAUGAAGCCUUUUUGGGCUUCUUAGUUCAAAGCAACAGAUACAGACACUGGGUAACACAGUGCUUGCAGGAAGACUAGAGAAGCAGGGUCUGAAAAUGGUCAGGAAUGUAGGAGCCUGGGCAGUCAGAACCACAGACCAGAUCCUGCCACAGAACCAGGUGGGUGAGGGCACUGUGGCUGUCCCCGCUGAACACGGGUAGCGGUAGCUUGCUCCACCACCCCGGUCACCCUUGGAAAUUGGAUGAUACAGCAGUCACUGCCGCAGUGACCAGAGGGAGUUCUUCAUGGCCAGUGAUUGUGUGUGCGUGUGUGCGCGCGUGUGUGCACAUGCUCACGUGCACAAGCGUUAAGUGUAAGAUACCGAAUGCAAAUUUAAAGCACACUGGGAAGUUGAAUCAGCGUUUUAGCUUCCAGGAGAGCUAGGGAAGCAACUCUAUGGCCCUUCAAGGCUGUGGAGUAGAAGGAGGGCUUUCUUUCUAUAGAGUCUUAUUGUGGGUUAGUCUCCAAACACAGGAGGGGGAUUUGGGUGCUAUGCAGUCAAACAAACACACAAACAAGCAAACAAAAUGGCAAUUAUGCAUUACAAGAAAUGAGUAACAUGAAGAAUAUUGCAUUCCAGGGUGUGGAAUCACUCAAAAGGAGUGUCUUCUGUAGUUUAACAAGAUUCUGUCCCUGCUUCUAUUCUGGUCUUUUUAAUUGUUGUGUUGUGUUUUGUUUCUAAUAAGAAAGGUAGGUGUCUGAGUAAACCAACCUAUUGCAUGGGGCUAGGAGGGGUGACAGAUAUUCUGGACAAUAGACUAAAGGUUUAAAUUUUAAAAACAUUUUGGAAGACUGGAUCAAUGGACCCAGACUAUAGAUAUGAAGUAUAACAGAGAUAAUAAUAACGGCAACCUCCUUCCAUGCACUCUUUAAACAGUUUUAUAUAUUAAUAUCAUUUAUUAUCAGAACCAUCCUAUAAGGUAGAUAUCAUUAACCCAGUGUUACAGUUGAGGACAUUGAGAAAUAGAUAUAGUGACUUGCACAGCUGGGAAGCGGCAAGCUUUGAAGCAAGGCAGCCUGACUCCCUAGCACCGCUGAAGGUGCCUUAUCAUGUCUUAUGUGCACAGGGACAGGUGGGGAAAUGUGACUUAACAGCAGCACAUAAGGAAAAACAAAUAAACAAAUAAACUGUGGAGCAUAAGUCCUCUGGGUGAUGUGGCUGGCAAUAAAAGCUAAUGUAAUGUAGCCUCGGGCUGCAAUAAAAGAAGUGUGUAGAAGGGAGUUGAUAGUCUAGAGUCUAGCUGCCUCUAGAUUUCUGUCUUCAGUCCUUCCCUCCGAGGAGGGCUGGAGCAAAAAUGAAUGGGGUGUUCAUUCUAGAGAUGUUAAGACCAGGGAGAAGGCAUCCUGGAAGACAACUUAGAUCCUGAAUAACCGCAGUGGGGAGGAAGAAUUGUAUCUAUUCUGCAUGACAUCAAAGGCGUGUACCAAAGAAUACAACCUCUGGGGAAACAGAGCCUGGCUCAGCCUAAGGAAGUAUUUCUCAAAGUGAAAGUUCCUCAUGUCUCAGUGGUUUGCAUCCAGGGGUAACGAGCUCCAUAUGACUAGUGAUGCUCCAGCCAUCACCAGCACAUGGUAGCCAGGAAUGGCAUAACGUGUGGGUCUGGGUGGCCUCUAGGGUCCCCUCCUACCGUGCAGGAGUGCAAUGCUGUUUUUCCUUCCCCAAACCAUCCCUGAUCACUGAACUGCAUGUGGCUUGUCCUUACUGUGGUCCUCUUUGUUUAUACUUCCUUUGCAGCACAGACAGUAUGAGGCCUUGAGAUUUUACAGACAGACCUAGUAUGUUCUGCACCAUUGAUAUUGUCAGCUCUCUGAGGGAAGGCCGUGUGAUUUGACCAUUUCAUUGUGCCCAGCCCAGGCCUUUCAAUAAAGUAUGGGACAAAGAAAUGAGUUUGAGAUGGAGUUCGAACCAAACCCUGCCAGAGGGCCCCGUGAAAGCUUAGGGGUGGCAAGGUGAGGAUGCCAUUCCUACUCUGUUAUCUCUGGAAACUUGGAAUGGAGGUAUUAGUGGUAGAUGUCUUUCAGAUAGGACAGAGCUGAAGGGUGAAGUCAAAUGGUACAUAUUGCAAAAUAUUAUCAAAUGGCACUGCAUUGGCUGACCAUGACUUCCGAAUGGUAGAUUCACGCAAAGCCCCGUAUAUAGAUGUUACAAUUUAACUGCCAAAUGAUGUUACAGGGUGAAUACAUAUAUACACAUAUAUAUAUACACAUACAUAUAUACAUAUAUACACACAUAUAUAUACUUGAACCGAUGAUAUGUUUAAAUAAGAAUCAGACCACAGGUACAUAGACUCUAAAAACAAAUAAAAAGGCUUCCGCGUUUAGACAGUGGUGAAAGAUCGGGUUAAGAGCCAAGACCCCCACUCCGCAGCUCUUGCUCCCCGGUGCUCCUAAAUCACCAAGUGACCUCAGGCAAGUCAUGGUUCUUCUCUGGGUCCCUGGACCCUCAUCUCUAAAAGAAGAUUGGCUGGAGUAGCUGAUAGUUCAGUUAAUGACUUCAAACAUCUGAUUCCUGAGAGUUCUACUUGGUAAAGUGGGAUGUCCAGUCCUCGUUACAGGAAGGAGGAGGUCCAGUCACCGUAUGGUGGUUAGACUGCAAUAGAGACUCUGAUGUAAGAGGUCACAUGUUAAUGGGGACAUUGACAAAAUGGAGUGGAAGUAGAUGGGAGAGAUGAGGAUGGUGAGAGGUCUGUAAACUGUAUCUCGCCAGAUUAGCUGAAGCACUGAAUGGCAGAGCACACUGACACAGGGGUUAAGUUUGGUGUCAGAUACCCGAGUUUGAAUCCCAGCUUUGCCAAUUACCAGCUGUGGAACACUGGGAAUGUCUGGGUUUUUUCCUCUGUAAGGUGCUAGCAAUAAUUUUACCAGCUCAUAGGGUCACUGUGGAUAAGUCUCAUAUUAUAGAAUGUUCUUAGCACAGUGCUCAAUAAAUACUUUUUAUUGGAUUUUAACUGUCAUUGGAUGCCAUUUUCAAAUAUUUGUAGGGCUGUCAGGAGAAGGAAAAAGUGAUGGGGAGCAGGGACAAAGUAACUGUUGGGAGGAAGUGACAGCAGAGGGGUAUUUUAGCUCCUCAGAUGAUGGGGCAUUUUAAUGAACAGAGUUAAUGAAUCACCUCUCAUGUCAUGGGUUUCCAGAGAGGUCGCUAGCAUGCUGUCAUCAGGACAUUUAAGCAGCUGCAGGAUUCGUGGCGAGCAGAAAACCUGCUGAGAGGGAGAGUUAGACCAUAAGAUCUCAGAGGCCCCUUUUAUGGUCAAGAUUUGGGACCCUGUAGGGGCAAAGGGUCAAGCCGUCAGCUCAGCUCUCUGUCCAGCUGCUCUUCUCCAGGAAGCGGAGGAGGCCCAGGGUUGCCACGCACGUCACACAUAGCGGAAAACUGCUGGGCACGUGGAGUCAGACAGGCUCGGACUCCCGGCUUUCCUGCCUUCAGCCUGGUGAGCUUGGACAAGUGUCUGGAAUCCUCCUGGGGCUCAUUUUCCCCACUUGUAAAAUGGAGCUGACAGUACCCUCCUCAUGGGGUGACUGCAUAGAAUUAAGGAGGUAGUGGGUGCAGCACCUUUCACAGAGUAGCAUCUCAUAGAGCCGGCUCUCUCCCCUGCCCUUUGCCCAGCAAACACAAGCAGAGCCUCCCUUUCAUUGCACCCUGCACUCAGGAGGGAAGGCAUAGGGCCUGGGGUAGGAACAGAUGACACAAGGAGGCCACAGAUGGGACACAGCAGGACAAUCUGGAAGAACCAGGAGCCUUGGAAAGCCCAGCCUGACUGCGAUACUGGGUGUGAAAACAGAGCACCGUCAACAGCUGCGUGGGGGUGAGGGUUCCUGCUAUUUUUAACGUGAUGCCAAAUCCCUGGGCUUUUGCUUGGGUCCGAGGAAGACCGCAGACAGGGCAAGAGCUUCUUCAAGCUGCAGUCUUCCCUCGAGUCAGACUGUCACUGCUCACCCUCCUGAAAACCCCAAACUACAUUUACCUGAAAAACAAACAGGCAUAUUCUGCAAAUGGCGACAAUUUAUCAAGAGACUAAUUAUCAUUUAAGCUAGUCUGGAAUAGUAAUGCGUCCCUUUUAAAGGGAAGCAAUCCUUGUGAGGAAUAUCUCAACAUCACAUGCUUAGCAAGCUUUCCCAGUAAGAUAUUACUUCAGGGCAACUUUUCCACAGCAACCCAUAUGUAAAAACAAGCGGGGAGGAAAUGCAAAGGUAGGAAGGAGGCAGGCACUUUUCAAAAGCGAUACUUAACUCUCAAAUCUCGACUGCCUCUUGAAUAUUUUAAAUGGAAGAGGGAUGGGUCACUUAAACUUAUGAAAUGAUUUUUUUUUUUAAAGGCAGGUACUAAUAAACAAUUCAUCACUAAUUCGGAGAGGCCUCAAGCCUAAGGGAAAGUUUAGUGAAGGAUUUUGGCGUAAAAAUCGUGAGGAAGAACUUCUACCUGCCACCAUUAGUCUAUAGAAGUGAAGCUCAGGUCUCUUUCUGAGAGGACGACAAGGCCCGAGCAGCCACUGCGUGCUUGUUGUGAACCAGGCAUUGCACCCAAUCCUUACGUUACCUUACAACAAUCCUAGGACAUGGGAAUUGUGAGGAGCUCCAUUUUCACAGAUGAGGUAGCUGAGUCUUAGAGAAGUAAGGUAGCUCAUUUUUGGUUAGUACUUUGUAAGCAGUGGAGCUGGAAUUGAGAAGAAUCAAACUGCUGGGCAGGGCUGGAACUAGGGUGAGUCAGGUGGAGCUCUGUCCUUGGGCACAGAAUAUAAGGGGAUGCCAAAAAACUCAGUAAUCAAGAUAAAUAAUAUUUUAAGGAAACAUUUAAAAAAAUCAAGAUCACUAGAAAAAAUCCACAAUGAGCAAAAUAUCAACAUUUUAAAUAAAGACAGGAUUGGGACUUCCCUGGCGGUCCAGUGGUUAAGACUCCACGCUUCCACUGCAGGGGGUGCGGGUUCGAUCCCUGGUAGGGGAACUAAGAUCCUGCAUGCCAUGUGGUGUGGCCAAUAAAUAAAUAAAUCCAGACAGGAUCUAACUCUGCACUUGUAUGUCUUAGCCUCACUCUCCUCACCCUGAUCUUGGCCCUGCCGCUCGGCAAUACUGCCUCUAAGUCUGAAUAGGUGGUCCAGGCCUGGGGGCUGAUGGUAAUAGGCCUGAGCGUUCAGGAUGUGAUCAUCGGUAACACAGACCCAGAGAUCAUGGUGGGGGUGAAUGUACCAUAAUUAGGGGAUAUGUCUACCCCUGCCUUCAUCCAUGCUUGUUCUUACUGAGAAUAAAACAGCAUCCAUGGCAGGGAUGCUGUUCUAAAUUCUCACUGUUUGAUCUCACUUGUGGAGCCUAACAAUGUCUGAAAAGAGGUCUCUGUGUGUCUUAAACUAAAUUCAGGUAGGGGCCCCCACUGCUAUGGCUGCUAUGUUAGGUGAUCAUCACGGUGGCCAUUUUCUUCAAGAAAAGUGAACGUGGAGAAGUAAUCUUAAUUUGUGAAAUCAUGCCAGUGCAGAGGACCGUGUCAGGAGGAUUUCCAGCAAAUAAGGAGGUUCGUGGAGUAAAUGAAGGUUUUUCUUCAACUGGAAUAACCAGAAAAAUUCGAGAAAAAGGCAGUGCUUAUUCACAACAUCCUCUGAUGAGUACUCAGUGCCAGACAGCAAUAGAAUAAGGCUCUGGCCACUGUUUACUGUGGCCUGUAAGGCUGUGUAUGCCAGCUCUCUGGAUUCAGCACCUCACAUGGUCUAAAUGAGUAGAAAGAGAGAGGAAAGGGGAGAGAGACACCAGUCCUCGGCCUGCCAUGAGAAACGGCAUCAUUAGUCUCUCCCACACUUUUUUUUCCCCCUUCUCUUUCUUCCUUUCCUCUCUUCUUCUCUCUCAGACUCCCAUCUCAUUUAACAUCCUGUGUACUAGGUUCUCUGCCUGAGCAGAAACCCUGACCACACAGACUCUGAGAACAAUGCUUUAUCUCUAUAAGCAUCUUGGAACUCUGUGACUGUCUGAAGGCUAAUUAAACCAAAUAACAGUGAAAUUUUCCCUCCAGUUCUAAUGAACGUGCAUUAUUCACGAGCACUUACAAUUUAAAAGUGCCUUCGUUUUAAAAGUUAAAUAAACUGUCCUGCGGUAAGUGAGCUUCGGUUUAGAAAACACUUUGUCUUACUUUUCCACUGAGUUACUUAAUACUCCCUCCCAUAAUCCAUUUGCAUUGAUCCCUCCUUCAUCAACUGCCCAUGCAUUCCAACACACUCAGAGCUGCAAAGAACUCCACUGCUGAUUCA
This is a long non-coding RNA of Physeter macrocephalus (sperm whale), 17337 nucleotides long. RefSeq lists it as uncharacterized. The transcript is spliced from 12 exons. The record is from RefSeq and is a predicted model, not a curated record. NCBI's taxonomy places the organism in Eukaryota, Metazoa, Chordata, Mammalia, Artiodactyla, Physeteridae.